Long non-coding RNA from Homo sapiens (human), 751 nucleotides. Ensembl annotates it as long intergenic non-protein coding RNA 2308. The record is from Ensembl. NCBI's taxonomy places the organism in Eukaryota, Metazoa, Chordata, Mammalia, Primates, Hominidae.
AGCCCCAGACGGGCUCUGCCAUCAACCUGCAGCUCCUCCUGAGCUGCGGCUCUUCCCGCUCUGCCCCCAACACAAGGAGAGCCCCGACUUGGGAGGAGGGCUUUUCAGAUCGCAGCUUGGCCUGAGGCAGAGCCAGAGCGAUGAGGUCACCCAGCACAGCUGCUAACUAUUUCAAGGAAACAGGUGGUGGCUCUGGCCUUUUCAUGGGCUUGGAGUUUUCUGGGAGAGGCCUCUUCAAGGGCGUCCUUGAAGCCCAGCCAUGGAUGUCCCUGUGGUUGGGAAAGGGGAGCUCAGGGUAAUGGAGUAUCCUCAAGAACCUGCAGAUAUUACCUCCCUCCAGAACCGUGGUCUCAGCCCUGGCUGCAUAUUCCUUCAACGGGAGGGCUUUAGAAAUGCUGUGCCAGAGCUGCACCCCAGACCAACAAAAUCAGACUCUCCAGGAUGCGGCCAAGGCAUCAGUAUGUGGAAAGCUUUCAGGAAAACUGAGCAAAAUGAAAGCCAAUUCAAAGAAGAAGGAAUUAAGUACAUAAUUGUGCAGAUGAUACAUGGAAAUGGAAUAAGUCUGGAGGGCAGCAAGAGUGACUGUCCAGCUAAGAACCUCAUCAGCAAUACAAAACAUUGUCACAGAUGUUGAAACAGACCCUGAGGUUAAUGCAUUCUUUCCAACAUUAGGUCCUAAAACUUCUCCUGAAAAGCUACCUUAAAUCUAACUUUUGAAAGUGCACAAUAAAGGUGAAUUAAAUAAAAGCAA